RNAcentral lists this ribosomal RNA (450 nucleotides) under uncultured bacterium. RNAcentral's name for it is "bacterial SSU rRNA". It matches the Rfam family "Bacterial small subunit ribosomal RNA", at positions 354 to 796 of the family's 1533-position model. The record is from RNAcentral.
GUGGGGAAUAUUGGACAAUGGGCGAAAGCCUGAUCCAGCCAUGCCGCGUGUGUGAAGAAGGUCUUCGGAUUGUAAAGCACUUUAAGUUGGGAGGAAGGGCAGUAAGUUAAUACCUUGCUGUUUUGACGUUACCGACAGAAUAAGCACCGGCUAACUUCGUGCCAGCAGCCGCGGUAAUACGAAGGGUGCAAGCGUUAAUCGGAAUUACUGGGCGUAAAGCGCGCGUAGGUGGUUUUGUAAGUUGGAGGUGAAAUCCCCGGGCUCAACCGUGGAACUGCCUCCAAAACUGCAUGACUAGAGUACGGUAGAGGGUAGUGGAAUUUCCUGUGUAGCGGUGAAAUGCGUAGAUAUAGGAAGGAACACCAGUGGCGAAGGCGACUACCUGGACUGAUACUGACACUGAGGUGCGAAAGCGUGGGGAGCAAACAGGAUUAGAUACCCCGGUAGUCC